Molecule: ribosomal RNA, 442 nt
Filed under: uncultured bacterium
Lineage: Bacteria
Description: partial 16S ribosomal RNA
Rfam family: Bacterial small subunit ribosomal RNA
Source: RNAcentral
CCUACGGGAGGUAGCAGUGGGGAAUAUUGGGCAAUGGGCGCAAGCCUGACCCAGCAACGCCGCGUGAAGGAAGAAGGCUUUCGGGUUGUAAACUUCUUUUAAGAGGGAAGAGCAGAAGACGGUACCCCUUGAAUAAGCCACGGCAAACUACGUGCCAGCAGCAGCGGGAAUACGUAGGUGGCAAGGGGUGUACGGAUUUACUGGGGGGAAGGGGCGGGCAGCCGGGAAGAAAAGUCAGAUGCGAAAUCCCGCGGCUAAACCGCUGAACGGAAUUUGAAACGGUGUUUCGUGAGUACCGGAGAGGUCAUCGGAAUGCCUUGUGUAGCGGUGAAAUGCGUAGAUAUAAGGCAGAACACCAGUGGCGAAGGCGGAUGACUGGACGGCAACUGACGGUGAGGCGCGAAAGCGUGGGGAGCAAACAGGAUUAGAUACCCUGGUAGUC